Molecule: non-coding RNA, 1932 nt
Filed under: Betula luminifera
Lineage: Eukaryota; Viridiplantae; Streptophyta; Magnoliopsida; Fagales; Betulaceae
Source: RNAcentral
GUGGCCAACCAGAUAUUCCACAUAGCAUCUGCAACAAGGAAUGGACACUAUAUAACCUAAUUUAAUAAUAUUUGAAUUUAUUAGCAUCGUCUUCGACAUAAAUCGGAAAGAUUAACAAUUCUUUUGAAGUUAUUAGUUAUUCAUCCAUCCGCAUGGAUUAUGGGCAAAUUUUGAAUCCCCAACUCCAAAACUAUCAUUUGCUAUCGGCACAUAUAGGAGUGGAAAGCAAAAUAUUAAGAGGUGGAGGCAAAUAAUAUCCACAUAUGCACACUCAUAUAAAUGAAAAAAGAGUAGAGCAACUGGCGAUUUUUAUUAUCAAAUUGUAUGUGCUUUGAGGAGAGUUAAAGAGAGAACCCCAAAACUAGAACAAGAGGCAACAACAUCAAGUAUAUUUAGUAAAAAAAUUGAAUUAAGCCCGUCUAAAAAAGCUCAAAAACAAACCCUUUUAUGUUUUUUUCAUUUCCUACGCACCUCAAAAACAAUCCUCACAUAAAUUAACUUAUUAGUCAAAGAAAAAAAAAAAAAAAACAAGAACGAACGCAAAAUGAGAAGGGGAUAUAAAAAAAACCGUUCGCACGUGUUAUGAGCGAAUUCUACAAAGUGGGGUUACUAAAAUCUCCACUCCCUAGAUUGGGAAUGCAGAAUAAAUGCAUUAUCCGUCCAUAUAGUAAGGUUUACCUCCCUAAUUACAUGGAGCAAUGAUAAGAAUAAAAAAUGAUCCAUCGUAUAUUACAUAAAUUUUGCUUUUUAUAGAGAAAUUAAUGAUGGAUUGGUGAUGGUGAAGAAGUAAUUAAAGGAAAGAAAGUGAGGAGACCGUGAUCUGAACGAAGUUGGAAAGGAGUCAACAUCUACAUCCUCAGUUACUAACCCCUACUACUGAAAAGCCUGCCAAAAUUUCAGUCAAACAUGAAACCCUAGCUCAGCUCCCAUUUACAUGAAAGGCUUCACCUAGGGUUUCAGGCUCACCCAAUAAAACCUAGCUGAAACAAUAAUAAUAAUAAGGAGGUCCAGGAGGAGACAAACGCUUCAGAGACUUGACAGUAAAACUGAAAUAAGAAACCAAAAAGAAAAUCAAGGACAAGGAACACCCAUGUUUUAUACAAACGACCAAAGUUGAGAGAAUACAUAAAAGAGGGAACAAGUAAAAAAAAAAAAAAGAACCCAAUAAAAAGUAAACAUCAUUAAAAAAGGAAAUCCAGCAGCAAAGUGAAAGAUCCACUAGAAUCCAGCAAUGUUUGGUGGGGGGUUUUCACAUGAAGUGGAUACAAGGAUCAGAUCAUUUUUGCUUCUAUACUGUUCCUACUAAAAUCAUUAUCAAGAACAAGUGCAUGGCACUAUACCUGCUUUUUCCCAUCAAAAAUAAUCGCAGAUGUGUAACCCAUAGACAAUACAUAGCUAUAAAGAAGAUACCCAGAUCAACAAAGAAAAGAAAAGAAAAGAAAGUAAAAUAAUAAUAAUAAUAAUAUCACAUACUCAGAUGCCAAAAAAAUCUUCGUGAAUCGGAGAAAGCAAGAAGAACCCAUGAAACUCAGGAUAGAUAGCGCCACUGAUGAGACGUAUGAUAAAAUCAUGCCUACAUGGCGCUAUCCCUCCUGAGCUUUACAGAUUCUCCCGUACUGUAUAAGAGCCUGGAGGAAGAAAAAGGGCUAUAUAUACAAAACUAGAAGAAAAGCUCUGAAGCUUUGGGGCUCAAGCCUCAAAUGGUGGGGAAUGAAAUUUAAGGGAGGGGGAGGAGGGUAUUUAUAAUACGAAGAAGGGACGUAGGACAUGAGUCACUUUAUCGGAGCAUGAAGGAAAAAUGGAGGGACGGUUUCUUUAAUUUGUUAUUCUUUAAUAUUAAUAAUAGUAUGCAUUAAUGUUUCCUUACUUUGUACGCUGCCGACUACGAUAUUCGUUCUCACUCUUGGGAUACGGAGAGGGAAUUACUUCAAU